UGGGAAUCUUGACGAAUGGGCGAAAGCUGACGCAGCAACGCGCGUGCGGGAUGAAGGCUUCGGGCUUGUAAAGCCUUUCAGCAGGGAAGAAAUUGACGGUACCUGCAGAAGAAGCCCCGGCCAACUACGUGCCAGCAGCCGCGGUAACACGUAGGGGGCGAGCGUUGUCCGGAUUUAUUGGGCGUAAAGAGCUCGUAGGCGGUUCGGUAAGUCGGGUGUGAAACCUCCAGGCUCAACCUGGAGACGCCACCUGAUACUGCUGUGACUAGAGUCCGGUAGGGGAGUGUGGAACUCCUGGUGUAGCGGUGAAAUGCGCAGAUAUCAGGAAGAACACCAGCGGCGAAGGCGGCACUCUGGGCCGGUACUGACGCUGAGGAGCGAAAGCKCGGGUAGCAAACAGGAUUAGAUACCCUGGUAGUCCACGCCGUAAACGUUGGGCACUAGGUGUGGGUCUCAACCAACGAGAUCCGUGCCGCAGCUAACGCAUUAAGUGCCCCGCCUGGGGAGUACGGCCGCAAGSUA
This 522-nucleotide ribosomal RNA is filed under the name uncultured Actinomycetes bacterium. RNAcentral's name for it is "bacterial SSU rRNA". It matches the Rfam family "Bacterial small subunit ribosomal RNA", at positions 356 to 895 of the family's 1533-position model. Lineage: Bacteria; Bacillati; Actinomycetota; Actinomycetes. The record is from RNAcentral.